This 336-nucleotide unclassified non-coding RNA is filed under the name soil metagenome. RNAcentral's name for it is "partial contains 5.8S ribosomal RNA, internal transcribed spacer 2, and large subunit ribosomal RNA". The stretch from base 1 to 120 matches the Rfam family "5.8S ribosomal RNA", at positions 35 to 154 of the family's 154-position model. The record is from RNAcentral.
GAUGAAGAACGCAGCGAAAUGCGAUAAGUAAUGUGAAUUGCAGAAUUCAGUGAAUCAUCGAAUCUUUGAACGCACAUUGCGCCCGCCAGUAUUCUGGCGGGCAUGCCUGUCCGAGCGUCAUUUCAACCAUCAAGCCCCCGGGCUUGUGUUGGGGACCUGCGGCUGCCCGCAGGCCCUGAAAACCAGUGGCGGGCUCGCUAUCACACCGAGUGCAGUAGUUUACUCUUCGCUCAGGGCGUGUGGCGGGUGCUAGCCGUGAAACCCCCAACUUCUCAAGGUUGACCUCGGAUCAGGUAGGAAUACCCGCUGAACUUAAGCAUAUCAAUAAGCGGAGGA